This 253-nucleotide ribosomal RNA is filed under the name uncultured bacterium. RNAcentral's name for it is "partial 16S ribosomal RNA". It matches the Rfam family "Bacterial small subunit ribosomal RNA", at positions 524 to 776 of the family's 1533-position model. The record is from RNAcentral.
UACGUAGGUGACCAGCGUUGUCCGGAUUUACUGGGCGUAAAGCGCGCGCAGGCGGUCGUUCAAGUCGAGUGUGAAAGCCCCCGGCUCAACUGGGGAGGGGCACUCGAUACUGAUCGACUUGAAGGCAGGAGAGGGAAGCGGAAUUCCCGGUGUAGUGGUGAAAUGCGUAGAUAUCGGGAGGAACACCAGUGGCGAAGGCGGCUUCCUGGCCUGUUCUUGACGCUGAGGCGCGAAAGCUAGGGGAGCAAACGGG